Molecule: ribosomal RNA, 42 nt
Filed under: Bupleurum rockii
Lineage: Eukaryota; Viridiplantae; Streptophyta; Magnoliopsida; Apiales; Apiaceae
Description: partial 18S ribosomal RNA
Source: RNAcentral
CGUAACAAGGUUUCCGUAGGUGGACCUGCGGAAGGAUCAUUG